UAUCUCUUAUAAAAUCAUACAGGAAACAUUAUCAAACAUAAAAUGAUGUUUGACUUUCUUUAUUCUAAAAACUAAUAAAAAUAGGUGCUAAAAAUUUUCCAAAUGAAAAUAAAUAUUGCUAAACCAAAGAGAAAUGUUAUCUAAGCCCCGUAUAAAAAAUAAAUAAAUCUUGUUCCAAUUGCAUCAAAAAACCCAUUAAGGGCCCUCCAGCACAGGGUUAAUACCAACGAGUUUCCACCUCCAGCUGCUCCUAGAGUGGCCACAGCAUGAGCCAUCUGGUGGGGGACCUAGCCGCCAACAGACACUUCCUGUACAGGGGAGGGGGGAGGGGGCCAGGCAGCCGUUAGACAGCACAACCGAACCCAACACCGGGGCCCAACGGCAGGGGCUUGGGCAGGAGCAAGGUCCGAGGGCUGCCAGGUCCACGCUGCUUUUAUGAGCUGUAACACUCACCGCGAAGAUCUGCAGCUUCACUCCUGAGCCCAGCGAGACCACGAGCCCACCGGGAGGAACAAACAACUCCAGACGCGCUGCCUUAAGAGCUGUAACACUUGCCGUGAAGGUCUGCAGCUUCACUCCUGAGCCAGCGAGACCACGAACCCACCAGAAGGAAGAAACUCCGAACACAUCUCAACAUCAGAACGGACAGACUCCAGACGCACCACCUUAAGAGCUGUAACACUCACCGCGAGGUUCCGCGGCUUCAUUCUUGAAGUCAGUAAGACCAAGAACCCACCAAUUCCGGACACAGUAGCAUUUGGGAAUAAUAAGAAUUGUAGCUGGGCAUGGUGGUACACGCCUGUAGACCCCUAGCAGCUGCCAUCAUCCUCACCAUCCGCAUAUUAUUGAUAUAUUAACUCUUUGAUGGCAACCAUAGCUUAUCCCCCUUAUCUCCCUAUGCCCUACAGCAGGGCAGUGGAAUGGUUAAGAGGCUUUGAAGUCUAAGAGUGCUGGCUUAAAACCCUAAUUUGUCAUUUUGGAUGUGUGGCUUUGGACACUUGGGGCAGGUCACCUAUGUUCUUCAAGCCCUGUAUCCUUAUCUGUCAGAUGAUGAUUUUUUUUUUUUUAGACGAAGUCUCACUCUCUUGCCCGGGCUGGAGUGCAGUGGCAUGAUCUCGGCUUACUGCAAGCUCCACCUCCCGGGUUGACGCCAUUCUCCUGCCUCAGCUUCCUGAGUAGCUGGGACUACAGGCUCCUGCCACCACCCGUGGCUAAUUUUUUUGUAUUUUUAGUAGAGACAGGGUUUCACCAUGUUAGCCAGGAUGGUCUCGAUCUCCUGACCUCGUGAUCUGCCCGCCCCAGCCUCCCAAAGUAUCAGAUGAUUUUAACAACUAUGCUUCCAUGACUUGCUGGGCUAGAUGAUAUGACUGUAAAAUGCCUAACCCAUGGUUUAGCAUCAAGUAAGCAAAUUGUAAAUGGUAGCACUGCUCUGCCUAUGACUAUUUAGUCUUGUGCUUUAAACUCAAAUAUUUGUUGGCCUACUGAAGUCACCACACAGAGAAAGAUGCUUUUCAUUCUCAGUAAAGAACUUUGGGAGAUAACUGGGGCAGGCAGCAAGAGAACAGAUGUCAUAUGUCUAGCAUCAGCAAACUCAUCAGAACUGAUGGGCAGCUCACUUUGCUUAGAACCUGCACCAGCAUACACACGGGGCUGCUUCCCAGUCACACUGCUCCUGGGAAGGUAGGGGGGCUGCUGUUCUGCAAUUAGCGCGGUUCUUUACCUCCUAUUACCGAACUGCCAGAGUUCAUUUGUGUUCAGUUAGGUAGAUGACCAAUUCUUGUUCAUUCCUAUUUUCUUUUGCUCACUAAUGUGUUUAACGUUCACUAACCUACCAAAUGUGAUUUAUUAGCGACUUUUUCUUUGAAGAUGGAGUGGAGGAAUCCUAGCGCUUUCUGCAACAUGCUACUGCUGUUAUGGAACAGUGCAGAUAUGGAAGUGCAUCAGCCGGGGAUGGGGAGAGGCUAGGGCAGUACAUGUGAAUGGAGAGGUAGCCCCACCAGUGUGUUUUCUGAAAUACAGUCCCGCAGAGGGCAGUCUUGGGAAAUUACUGUUCUCACACACUCUUCUUGACCCUACCCCUCCAGCACCUCCCUUGCUAUCCAAGGGUUGGGAUUUUUAAAAAGAAAAACAAAUUUUAAAAAAAGCAGUGUGAAUCUUUUGCCAUCUUGUAAGGGUGAAAAGCCCCCUACCAAGUCGGGAUGAACAUUCAUGCGUGUGCUUGAGGGCUUGGGAAAAAGACAGGGCUUGGCCCCACAGUGCAGGUAGGCCCAGUGAUCCUAUAAUAGGGGCCAGGAGAUGGGAGGUCCCCUGUGGGCAGGAGUUCAAGUAUGUGGUAUUAUAUGACUGGUGCUUGAUGAACCCAGGGAGAGGGCACCAAAAACAAUGGUAUUUAAUUGUAAAAUCUCCACCCCCUGAGGAUAUGUUUUCAGGUCUGGGUGACUAAUUAGACUGGGAAACAAGGGCAGGAACGAUGGCCCUGUGCUUGCUCUGCCCGCUGCCUCUGUGGAUGUGUGGGCUGCUGGCUUCAGUCCUGCUUUUCUUUCUGAUGGUAUUGUUUAUGCUAUGUGUUUUUGCAGGAGGCCUGAGGUGGGCUGGGUUCUCCUCCUAUGGCAGGGCUUCACUCUCCUCCUCCUUCUCUGUUGGGGCUUCACUGUCCCUGGGAUAAGAAUAACAAUGCCAAGGUUUUCAUUCUUGAAAGGAGCAAUUAAGCGUCUCACCCCCUCCUCAUUUUAGAUGGGAACUGUGAGGGUCCCGUCAUUUACCCAGGGUCCCUGUUGAGGAUCUUGUCCUCAUUAGAUGACUUCUUGUGCAGCUUCCAUGCGUGAUUCUUUACUCUUGUGGCACUGAGAGGUUUGUACAUGUCUUUAAGCCAGAGCGGCUUUCUGAAUGAAAAAAGUCCAUCCUAGAAGAUAGAAAGGGAAAUAUUAAUUUUGCAUGUCCUCUGCUUUCCCUGGUCACAGCAAUGAAUCCUCCAAUGUACCUGACUCUCCCUUUGCGAAGAGCAUCUCCGUGGCAGAAAUCUGAAAAUGCCCCUGGGGAGACACAUGCACAAGACAGUUCGUGAGCCACACAUCUCCCCACACCAAGCUCCUCCAUACAAGACCUCGGACUGCAUCACGUAAAUGCUUUUUCAGGGGCAAAAUCUAGAGAAUCUGAAACGAGCUAUCAGCUUCCCAGUUUGCACAAUUCAUCAAGAAAUUAUGCGGGGUCACUGGCACAAAUGAUGAGGCAUCUCCUGGAAGCUUAACUUCUUAUCCAUCCCAUCUCUUGGACAGAUGAUGCCAGUUAAUUACUUUGAAUGGGUCUGUCACACGCAGCCCAACUCAACUGGAGUCCUGAGAAGGUGAACAGACCAGGAUGGAUGGCCAGGGAACUCACCAGAAGUCCCCAGGCAUCAGAACAAGGUCGAAGCAUCCUGAUUAGGGUACCAGAGGCCCAGGCAGUACUUUUGGGGUAGACGAGGUACAGACCUUUGGCUCCUCACUGUCUUCAAGCCCACAAGAAGCAUAGAGCAGAAGAAGACAGAGGAGGGCCCAUCUGGCCCACUACCUGUUCUUGUAAAUAAAGCUUUAUUGAAGCCAGGUGCUCACCUUCUAGCACAUUCUUCAAGAGUUACUCUGAGGCAAGCCAGCCGCCAUGUCAUGAGGACACUCAAGCAGCACCAUGGAGAGGUCCGAUGGCGAGGAACAGAGGAUCCCCCUGCCGACAGCCAAUGAGGAACAGGCCUCCUGCCAACAGCCGUGUAAGGGGUCACCUUGGAAGCCAAUGGCCCCUCCCUGGUCAGGCUUUUACAUGACUGCAGUCCUGGCCAACAUCCUGACGGCAACCUCAUGAGAGACCUUGAGCCAGAGCCACCCACCUAAGCUGCUUAUAGGUUCCUGGCCCUCAGAAAUCACAUGAGAUCAUAAAUGUUUGCUCAAUUUGAGAUAUUUGUGAUGUAGCAAUAAAUAACAAACACACUUA
Molecule: long non-coding RNA, 3963 nt
Filed under: Homo sapiens (human)
Lineage: Eukaryota; Metazoa; Chordata; Mammalia; Primates; Hominidae
Description: HSALNT0390216
Source: RNAcentral